RNAcentral lists this non-coding RNA (24 nucleotides) under Cricetulus griseus (Chinese hamster). The record is from RNAcentral. Lineage: Eukaryota; Metazoa; Chordata; Mammalia; Rodentia; Cricetidae.
UUCUUGCCUCUGCUGUUCCUUGCC